This 1102-nucleotide ribosomal RNA is filed under the name uncultured bacterium. Its description in RNAcentral is "bacterial SSU rRNA". It matches the Rfam family "Bacterial small subunit ribosomal RNA", at positions 330 to 1453 of the family's 1533-position model. The record is from RNAcentral.
CCCAGACUCCUACGGGAGGCAGCAGUGGGGAAUAUUGCCACAAUGGGGAAACCCUUAAUGCAGCGAUGCCGCCGGGAGAAGAAGGUUUUCGGAUUGUAAACUCCUGUCGACAGGAAAGAAAAAGGACUGUACCUGUCAAGAAAGCUCCGGCUAACUACGUGCCCAGCAGCCGCGGGUAAUACGUAGGGAGCGAGCGUUGUCCGGAAUUACUGGGUGUAAAGGGAGCGUAGGCGGGACUGCAAGUCAGAUGUGAAAUUUACGGGCUUAACCUGUGAACUGCAUUUGAAAACUGUAGUUCUUGAGUGAAGUAGAGGCAAGCGGAAUUCCUGGUGUAGCGGUGAAAUGCGUAGAUAUCAGGAGGAACACCGGUGGCGAAGGCGGCUUGCUGGGCUUUAACUGACGCUGAGGCUCGAAAGCGUGGGUAGCAAACAGGAUUAGAUACCCUGGUAGUCCACGCUGUAAACGAUGAUUACUAGGUGUGGGGGGACUGACCCCUUCCGUGCCGCAGUUAACACAAUAAGUAAUCCACCUGGGGAGUACGGCCGCAAGGUUGAAACUCAAAGGAAUUGACGGGGGCCCGCACAAGCAGUGGAGUAUGUGGUUUAAUUCGAAGCAACGCGAAGAACCUUACCGGGUCUUGACAUCGAGUGCAUAGCUAAGAGAUUAGUGAAAUCCCUUCGGGGACACUUAGACAGGUGGUGCAUGGUUGUCGUCAGCUCGUGUCGUGAGAUGUUGGGUUAAGUCCCGCAACGAGCGCAACCCUUACCUUUAGUUGCUACGCAAGAGCACUCUAAAGGGACUGCCGUUGACAAAACGGAGGAAGGUGGGGAUGACGUCAAAUCAUCAUGCCCCUUAUGACCCGGGCUACACACGUACUACAAUGGCAAUCAACAAAGAGCAGCGAAACUGUGAAGUGGAGCGAAUCUCAAAAAAUUGUCUCAGUUCGGAUUGCAGGCUGCAACUCGCCUGCAUGAAGUCGGAAUUGCUAGUAAUCGCGGAUCAGCAUGCCGCGGUGAAUACGUUCUCGGGCCUUGUACACACCGCCCUUCACACCAUGGGAGUCGGUAACACCCGAAGUCUGUAGCCUGACGCAAGAGGGCGC